CUGGCUCAGAAUGAACGUGGCGGCAUGGAUCAGGCAUGCAAGUCGAGCGAAAGUAGCAAUACUUAGCGGCGAAAGGGAUAGUAAUUCGCAGAUACCUGCCCUCUGGACGGGGAUAACUUCGGGAAACUGAAGUUAAUACCCGAUAAAAUCUUCGGAUCAAAGGUGCGAUUCCGCCGGAGGAGGGGUUUGUGUCCUAUCAGGUAGAUGGUGAGGUAACGGCUCACCAUGCCAAUGACGGGUAGCGGGUGUGAGAGCAUGACCCGCAUCACUGGGACUGAGACACUGCCCAGACACCUACGGGUGGCUGCAGUCGAGAAUCUUCGUCAAUGGACGAAAGUCUGAACGAGCGAUGCCGCGUGCGGGAGGAAGGUCUUCGGAUUGUAAACCGCUGUCAGUAAUUUUGGAAAUGCUAGGUGGCAAUCCACCUAGUUUGACCUGGUUUCAGAGGAAGGACGGGCUAAGUUCGUGCCAGCAGCAGC
RNAcentral lists this ribosomal RNA (479 nucleotides) under uncultured bacterium. RNAcentral's name for it is "bacterial SSU rRNA". It matches the Rfam family "Bacterial small subunit ribosomal RNA", at positions 19 to 518 of the family's 1533-position model. The record is from RNAcentral.